UGCCAAGAGGAGCAUGGAGAUGAUGAAGAAGGAAGUUCCGGAUCGGAUGUCGAGGUUUUCCAUCAGCGUCGUUGUCUCCUCGUACGGCCAGAAGCAAAUGAUUCUAUUCUGGUUGGAAAGCUUGAUGGCCAUUGGGCUUCCUAACGUGGCUGUAAUAGUUGUUAUAGUAGGCGAAAGCAAUGUCAGCUGUAGGAGUUGGUUACUCGCUCCAUAAACUAUAUACAGUUCA
Molecule: long non-coding RNA, 229 nt
Filed under: Linum usitatissimum (flax)
Lineage: Eukaryota; Viridiplantae; Streptophyta; Magnoliopsida; Malpighiales; Linaceae
Description: long non-coding RNA (LUSI_LNC000396)
Source: RNAcentral